UCCCUGGUGGCUCAGACGGUAAAGCGUCCGUCUGCAAUGCGGGAGACCCGGGUUCUAUCCCUGGGUCGAGAA
Ovis aries (sheep) is the source of this 72-nucleotide transfer RNA. It matches the Rfam family "tRNA". Rfam says of the family: Transfer RNA (tRNA) molecules are approximately 80 nucleotides in length. NCBI's taxonomy places the organism in Eukaryota, Metazoa, Chordata, Mammalia, Artiodactyla, Bovidae. The record is from Rfam.